AAGUGACGCACAUUUGGAGCGCCUGCAUUCCAAAACGCUAACGGAAGAUGAUUUAAGGCCAGCAGAGACAUGCUUUCAGCACCUAUGCCCCUGAGGAAGCAGUUGUUACUGCGAAACGCGUAGGGCUGCAUAGGUGGACGGUGGGGAACAAGUCCCCAUCCGUUCCCAACGUAGACAGAUAGAAUUUGCUACUGGAGAAUUGGGAAUGGAAGGGUGGGGCAAUUACGAAUUGGUACAGCCUCAUUAGGGGCUGUGUGACUACUAUAUUAUUCGCAUUGGAUAGCGGGUACAAACUUACCCCACCAACACCUUAUGCUUAUCUUUUUAAUAUAUGUUUUAAGGUUAAAGUCCUGCACUGCUGACACUUGUUUUUGGGCAGUGUGUCUUCAUUACUGUUGUUUGGUGUGCUGUGUGGGCAGUUGCCCAGUGUCCUGUGUGGCAUUUUUAAAGUUAACUAUUAAAGGUUUAAUUUUUAAUGAUCCUAAUGUCUUGAUAUAGCCCAAAGGUUGUUUACCUGAACUGGUUUGCUGGAGGUGGGGGAAAUGGGGUCUAUUCUUGUAUGGGGCUACAACCUACACACCUCGGUUUUCUGUGGUUAUAUUAGUUGCUUGACUUGUACAAAAUGUUUUUAUUUUUGUGGUUUGUAUGUGCAGAAAACUACUGCCUAAAACCUAGUAAAGCAAAAACUCUGCUAGUCUCAUGGUACCAGAAAUCAUACAAAUUAAAAUGCCCCACACUUCUUGUGGUAACUUCUCUAGAAUGAGCAACAAAUUCAUUCAACUGAACAGAGGUUUGAACGUUAAGUACAAAUAGAUCUUGCUUCAACAUCACAUGUGCAAUGAUUGAACCUACAAAGUCAAAUUACGUGGUAUAUUUUAUUUUUCUGUAAGUGGAAAAAUAAGGAAACAAAACUAGAAGGCAUCCAAUCCUAUGUACCUUUGCAAUAACAUGGAAAUAAACUUCUACAGAGUUCUGUGGACAAACCAGACUGGAAAUAUAAGUGCAAGCUUUGAGGAACCUGGCCUUUCUGUUAUCCACGGACUGUGGCAGCAGGAUCCAAAGUGAACUAUAUGUGAGAAGUGCGUACUGGAGCUCCACCAGCGUGAGCGUUAUAAGCAGCACAGCAAAACAGUUUAUAAGGAGCACCCCGGAAAAACUACUCACAGUGUGCUGCACAUGAAAGCUGCUCCGGAUAGCAUCGGUCAAAGUUCAUCUACAAAGCAUGGAGCACUACGUGAAGUAUUUUAUGUAAAAUCCAGUAUUUAUUUAAUUCAUUUAAAAAUCAAUACAAAAGAACGCCAUGUGUAUAUAGAACCAUCACACUUGACGCGUUUCGUAGCCCACCGGCUACUUUUUCAAAAGCUUGUUAUAAGCAGAACUCCAGGAUGUGGUAAAGUAUGAGAGAGAAUAUUACAAUGGAGGAUUGAGCAGCACCUAUGCCGGACUCUUUAUACUGGUAACAAGACGCUAUCCAAUAUCACAUCGCCUUCGUUCCCCACACACUUACCACACAUCUAAUUAUUGGAUCUUCUAAUGGAACUGUUGCAAGACACUUGGGGUCAUUUAUCAACACUGGGCAAAUUUGCCCAUGGGCAGUAACCCAUGGCAACCAAUCAGAUUGCUGCAUACAUUGUUCUACUUGCAGCUGGCUUUAAAAAGCUAAUCACUGGUUGGAUGCUAUAGGCAACUGCCCAUGGGCAAAUAUGCCCAGUGUUGCUUAAUGAGCCCCACUGUCUUUGUCUUUUAAAAGCAGGCAGCCUCUGGCUAUACAUGCGGGAGUGCUAGAUACAAGGCUAUACAAAGUUGGAACAGUGUUCCAUUUCUGUCCCAAAUUGCUACAAAUGUCUAGAAUGGCUGUUCUAUAAAAUAUAGCGGAUCCAAACUUGGCCAGACAAUUCUUCAAAAACUUUUUAACAGUAUCAAAGUGGUUAAUGAAUUCUCUUGUGAUGCCACACAACGGAUAUAUUUAACCAAAGAAUUGCUAAUGAACUUGAAUGAUUUUUCUUACUUAUUCAACCCCACAUGAAUUGAAAAUUAAUUUGUUCUAUAGGCUGAUGAAUGAAUGAACUGUGAUGAGAAUGCGAAAUUUUGCACUUUAUAACUUAUCUAUUUAUUGAUCAGCUGAUUAAGUAUGUUAAGUUGAUUGAUGCAUUUUUUGUUAACACAUAUUAAUUCAUAAUUAACUAAUGAACUAGAAUAAUCUCAAAUGAAAUAAAUUAAAUUAUUCAAAUGAAGUAAAAUGACCGUGUGCAGAUUGAGAGAUAAUUGGUGUAAUUGGUGUAACUAAUACUGCACCUGCUUCCUUUGUUUCCAUUUUAUCUCUAAUUUGCAUUGAGGAUUCAUUGUUUGGAUUACUGGAAAUGAGCUGAGGAGAUCAUUAUAACUGGUUUGGUGACUUAAGUUAUUUACACAUUGUGGUCUAUUAACAUAUAUAUUAUUCUAAUAGUUGAAUCACUCAAAACUAAUUGACCCCAGGAGCAACGUGUACAAUAGCAUAGACUAUACAUUUCGCAAAACAAAAGAUACAGAAAUAUUUUUUGUGCUUAAAUACCUUCAAUGUGUUAACAACUUUAAGCAAUAUUACUGCAACCUACCAAACCUUGCAUGUAUGUAAAGUGUUUAAGUGUACUCUAAUACUUGAUUUGGGUAUUAGGGAACAGCACACAGAGCUGGUCAGAGCAGCUAUUCUAGGUAUAAAAGCCUAUGUCUGCUUUUGCAAAUGCAAAUAGAGACAUGUAAAGUACACCUUUUAACACAUCUUUAUUGAAAUUCCCUAUAACAUUAAACACACACUUUUCUAUUC
Molecule: long non-coding RNA, 2803 nt
Organism: Xenopus laevis (African clawed frog)
Lineage: Eukaryota; Metazoa; Chordata; Amphibia; Anura; Pipidae
Exons: 2
Source: RefSeq, a predicted model, not a curated record